This is a long non-coding RNA of Lathyrus oleraceus (garden pea), 2082 nucleotides long. RefSeq lists it as uncharacterized. Lineage: Eukaryota; Viridiplantae; Streptophyta; Magnoliopsida; Fabales; Fabaceae. The record is from RefSeq and is a predicted model, not a curated record. The transcript is spliced from 2 exons.
CUUCCAUGGAAACCCCAUUCCAAAACCCAAGCGGAGGUGCAGGGUGGUGCGGACCAUGAAAACAAUGGUGUACGGGAAGUGAUUCUGGGGGAUAGAUCGGUGAUUCGUUUAGGCUCGCACCAAAAAUGGCCCAACCAGGACCAACCAAAAGGGCACAAAACUUUAAAAAGAACCUGGAAUGAAGUAUGAGUUCGCCGAAAGAGGGUGACAUCUUCAAUAACCUGAAUGGAGCAACGCACGACGAACAUAUAUUCACAAAUCGAAGCAGUAACACGCUCCACUCCACGUCGAAGCUCACCUGCCUUGCGUUCGUGGAUUCACUUCUUCAACAAUCACGUCACUCUCCACGUCGACCAUCAUAUUCAAGCUUGGGGAUCCAUUCGGACGGUGAUGCCGUUCGUGUAGUGAUGCGGAUGAUGAAGGAUGAUCGAUGAAGUUCCUUGCGGAGUGUUGUUGAUUGACCCGAGGAUGAAUGCUUUCGACUUUUGCCAUUACGAAUCAGUAUCCUUCUUCUCCCUAGUGUAACUGCUUCUUCUUCUGCUUUUCUGUUCGCUUCUGUAUGUGCGGGAAGUUGUGAAAGAAUGGUUUUCCUUUUUUCUUUUUGUUCUCUGUUUUGAAGGUUCUGGUUCUUCAAGAAUAUGGUCGGGAGUUAUCGGUGGUUUGAGAGCAUUUCCAAUGAAGGUUUGUGAGUUCCCUCAAAGGGUGAUUGAAUGGUGGUUUUCGAUUAUUAUCAGGGAAGAAUGUGAGAAGGCGGUGAUGAAGGUUGUUGAAGAGUUAUGGAGGCGUGAAAUUAUGGAAGUUGUUGAAGAAUUCUGGAGUAUGUUAUCAAGUGGUUGAAGAAGUUAGCUGGAAGUGGAGAUUGCUAUCAGUUGAGAGAAAAAGAUCCUCCUGGAUGAUGGCAACUCGUAAGCAUGGUGCUCGUUAUUUAUUUCGGUUAAUGUCUGAAUCAGUUAGAAUAAGUUGUGAACUUAGAUGUUAGUUUUUUCCAACGAAAAAUUAGUUAUUGCUAAGUGAGUUAGGUUAAUUGAAGUGUGGUUUUUGUUUGUUGCAAGUUCUGGUCUGGUAUGAUACUCAGAAGCUUCUCUAGCUCGUACUUCUUCUGAUGUCUCCGAUUGCUCCACUCACCCAAGCUUAUAUCCACAAACAAACAGGUCUUUUUUGGAAGCAUCAUCGGUCCCACUUCCAGAUAUAUUAACCUGCCGGCGUUUUCCCACACCACUGAAUGUCAUUUUCCAAUUGAUCUCGUCGUGCAGAAUGCCUUUGCAGCAGGGGUAAUUGAAGAAAACCAGCUUGCGACUGGUUGGGUUCAAGAGUUCUAUUUUUUUUCUUAAUCUUCAUUUUAUAUUGAAUCGGUUAAUAUUGUUUAGGUAAUGAUGGUUCAGGACUAGUGUGAACUUACUUGUUAUUGACAUAGUUCUUGGUUAAAAGGAACUUAGUUGGGACUGACUCUAAUAUUAGGCAAACAUGUGAACUAAUGCUUAGAUUACUAGUUUCACUUAAAGUUACUUGUUGGACCUCUUUCUCUUUUCAGUGCAGAACUUAACUAAGUUGUGGUAAAAAUACAAGUCGAUUGAAUGCUUAUUAAUGGGUGAUCACUUUGUUCUAUUUUGGAUAAUGUUAUUGAAUGACUUGUAUGUUGUAAAAUUUGAAAUGGCCUUUGUUUCAUGUUGGAACUCUGACUUGGUCUGUACACUUCUGACUUGGUUCAGCUUACGUUUUGGCUUAUUUCUGCAGCAUACGUACACCUUUGGCUGGCCUUGCAGGUACAUGGAUGUAGGCCCGUGGCUUGUUCGUAGAUGAUAAUUGGCUUUUGUAAGAUGGGCAUACAUGAAGGUGGAUGAAUAAAACUUGAAAAAAGGCUUGUAAAUUAAGAAAAUGUUGAAUUUAGUUUUAGGUAGUUUAUACUUGAAUGAAUUGGAAAUGGAAUUUUGUUGUAAUUGAAUGUGCAAAUGAAAAGGUAUUUUGGAUUGAAAUUAGUUGUAUGAACUUGUAAUGGAUAUAUUUAGAAAUUGAAUGAUUGUAAUUGGGAAAUGGUUAUUGGAUUAAAUCAAAUGGUUUCUAUAGAAAAUAAGGGAUUAAAGA